RNAcentral lists this ribosomal RNA (254 nucleotides) under uncultured bacterium. RNAcentral describes it as "partial 16S ribosomal RNA". It matches the Rfam family "Bacterial small subunit ribosomal RNA", at positions 524 to 776 of the family's 1533-position model. The record is from RNAcentral.
UACGUAGGGACCAAGCGUUGUUCGGAUUUACUGGGCGUAAGGGGCGCGUAGGCGGCAAUUCAAGUCAUCUGUGAAAUCUCCGGGCUUAACCCGGAACGGUCAGAUGAUACUGCUUUGCUAGAGUGCGGAAGGGGCAAUCGGAAUUCUCGGUGUAGCGGUGAAAUGCGUAGAUAUCGAGAGGAACACCAGAGGUGAAGACGGGUUGCUGGGCCGACACUGACGCUGAUAGCGCGAAAGCGUGGGGAGCGAACAGG